RNAcentral lists this ribosomal RNA (467 nucleotides) under uncultured bacterium. RNAcentral describes it as "partial 16S ribosomal RNA". It matches the Rfam family "Bacterial small subunit ribosomal RNA", at positions 28 to 506 of the family's 1533-position model. The record is from RNAcentral.
GACGAACGCUGGCGGCGUGCUUAACACAUGCCAGUCGAACGGAAAGGCCCUGCUUUUGUGGGGUGCUCGAGUGGCGAACGGGUGAGUAACACGUGAGUAACCUGCCCUUGACUUUGGGAUAACUUCAGGAAACUGGGGCUAAUACCGGAUAGGAGCUCCUGCUGCAUGGUGGGGGUUGGAAAGUUUCGGCGGUUGGGGAUGGACUCGCGGCUUAUCAGCUUGUUGGUGGGGUAGUGGCUUACCACGGCUUUGACGGGUAGCCGGCCUGAGAGGGUGACCGGCCACAUUGGGACUGAGAUACGGCCCAGACUCCUACGGGAGGCAGCAGUGGGGAAUAUUGCACAAUGGGCGGAAGCCUGAUGCAGCAACGCCGCGUGCGGGAUGACGGCCUUCGGGUUGUAAACCGCUUUCGCCUGUGACGAAGCGUGAGUGACGGUAAUGGGUAAAGAAGCACCGGCUAACUACGU